This 497-nucleotide ribosomal RNA is filed under the name uncultured bacterium. RNAcentral describes it as "partial 16S ribosomal RNA". It matches the Rfam family "Bacterial small subunit ribosomal RNA", at positions 28 to 507 of the family's 1533-position model. The record is from RNAcentral.
GAUGAACGCUGGCGGCGUGCCUAAUACAUGCAAGUCGAGCGAACAGACGAGGAGCUUGCUCCUCUGACGUUAGCGGCGGACGGGUGAGUAACACGUGGAUAACCUACCUAUAAGACUGGGAUAACUUCGGGAAACCGGAGCUAAUACCGGAUAACAUGUUGAACCGCAUGGUUCAACAGUGAAAGACGGUCUUGCUGUCACUUAUAGAUGGAUCCGCGCCGCAUUAGCUAGUUGGUAAGGUAACGGCUUACCAAGGCAACGAUGCGUAGCCGACCUGAGAGGGUGAUCGGCCACACUGGAACUGAGACACGGUCCAGACUCCUACGGGAGGCAGCAGUAGGGAAUCUGCGGCAAUGGGCGAAAGCCUGACGGAGCAACGCCGCGUGAGUGAUGAAGGUCUUCGGAUCGUAAAGCUCUGUUAUUAGGGAAGAACAAAUGUGUAAGUAACUAUGCACGUCUUGACGGUACCUAAUCAGAAAGCCACGGCUAACUACGUG